Molecule: ribosomal RNA, 410 nt
Filed under: uncultured bacterium
Lineage: Bacteria
Description: bacterial SSU rRNA
Rfam family: Bacterial small subunit ribosomal RNA
Source: RNAcentral
AAUGGGCGAAAGCCUGAUCCAGCCAUUCCGCGUGAGUGAAGAAGGCCUUCGGGUUGUAAAGCUCUUUCGGCAGGAACGAAACGGUGGGAGCUAAUAUCUCCUGCUAAUGACGGUACCUGAAGAAGAAGCACCGGCUAACUACGUGCCAGCAGCCGCGGUAAUACGUAGGGUGCGAGCGUUAAUCGGAAUUACUGGGCGUAAAGCGUGCGCAGGUGGUUGUUUAAGACAGAUGUGAAAUCCCCGGGCUUAACCUGGGAACUGCGUUUGUGACUGGACAGCUAGAGUGCGGCAGAGGGGGGUGGAAUUCCACGUGUAGCAGUGAAAUGCGUAGAGAUGUGGAGGAACACCGAUGGCGAAGGCAGCCCCCUGGGCCAGCACUGACGCUCAUGCACGAAAGCGUGGGGAGCAAA